This is a ribosomal RNA of 207 nucleotides. It matches the Rfam family "Bacterial small subunit ribosomal RNA", at positions 568 to 774 of the family's 1533-position model.
AGCGUAGGCGGGUUUGUAAGUUGAAUGUGAAAUCUAUGGGCUCAACCCAUAAACUGCGUUCAAAACUACAGAUCUUGAGUGGAGUAGAGGCAGGCGGAAUUCCUAGUGUAGCGGUGAAAUGCGUAGAUAUUAGGAGGAACACCAGUGGCGAAGGCGGCCUGCUGGGCUCUGACUGACGCUGAGGCUCGAAAGCGUGGGUAGCAAACA